CGCCGCAGAACGGAAAAUUCUAGAAAUAACAUUUUGAUCACCGCCGCACACAUGGGUGAACAAACCCAGGUACAGACCCAAACCCAAUCUCAAUCGCCGGCAUCGUCUCAACCUAAUUCUGAUGUAACAUCCGCAACACAGCCCACUCCUGUAGCCGACGUCUCCAUCAAUGCCGACGUUUCCCAGAAGCCCUCCAAUCCUUCCAAAAUACCUAUUCGACCUCAAAAAAUCCGAAAGCUGUCAUCUAACCCUACUUCCACCAUUGCCACCACCCCCGUUGUUCUCACCGCCGUUAACUCCUCCUCCAUGCCCACCUUGCAGACUUCCGAGGCCAAAGCCCUACAAAUUACUGAUUCUUCCUCCUCCCCUUCUGCCAUUCCUAUUCCGACCACUGCUUCCUCCUCCUCUACCACCACCACUACCAUCACCUCCACCUCCGCGUCGACCAGCACUGCUGUUACCUCCACCACAGUUUCCACACCCACGGCAUCUACGCCCAAGAAUCGGAGGCGUAGUGCUGUCCAAUCAGCUAGGGUUCUGCCCCAGAUCAUCAAACCCCUGUCGGCCGAGGGUGAAAUCAAUGCCGCUCUCCACCACCUCCGCGUUGUUGACCCUUUACUUGCUACCCUGAUCGAUACCCACCAGCCUCCGGCAUUUGAGUCUCACCACUCCCCAUUCCUUGCCCUCACCAAGAGCAUUCUCUAUCAGCAACUCGCCUACAAAGCAGGCACCUCAAUCUACAAUCGCUUUGUAGCGCUCUGCGGUGGCGAGACUGCAGUUCUUCCCGACAAUGUGCUGGGUCUAUCUGCUCAGGAGCUCAAGCAAGUCGGUGUCUCUGGUAGAAAAGCCAGCUAUUUAUAUGACCUCGCAAAUAAGUAUAAAUCUGGGAUUUUAUCGGAUGAAACUGUGGUCAAAAUGGAUGAUAAGUCAUUGUUUACCAUGCUAUCCAUGGUCAAGGGAAUUGGGUCAUGGUCAGUUCACAUGUUCAUGAUUUUUUCACUGCACAGGCCAGAUGUUUUGCCAGUGAGUGAUUUGGGAGUGAGGAAAGGAGUGCAGAUGUUGUAUGGAUUGGAGGAGUUACCUAGACCUUCACAAAUGGAGCAAUUAUGUGAGAAAUGGAGGCCAUAUAGGUCAGUUGGUGCUUGGUAUAUGUGGCGGUUUGUGGAAGGAAAGGGAUCAC
This 1180-nucleotide long non-coding RNA is filed under the name Coffea arabica (coffee). Its description in RNAcentral is "long non-coding RNA (CARA_LNC004899)". The record is from RNAcentral. Lineage: Eukaryota; Viridiplantae; Streptophyta; Magnoliopsida; Gentianales; Rubiaceae.